This 422-nucleotide ribosomal RNA is filed under the name uncultured Chitinophaga sp. RNAcentral's name for it is "bacterial SSU rRNA". It matches the Rfam family "Bacterial small subunit ribosomal RNA", at positions 355 to 774 of the family's 1533-position model. Lineage: Bacteria; Pseudomonadati; Bacteroidota; Chitinophagia; Chitinophagales; Chitinophagaceae. The record is from RNAcentral.
UGGGGAAUAUUGGUCAAUGGACGCAAGUCUGAACCAGCCAUGCCGCGUGGAGGAUGAAGGCCCUCUGGGUUGUAAACUUCUUUUAUCUGGGACGAAACACUUCUUUUCUAGGGAGCUUGACGGUACCAGGUGAAUAAGCACCGGCUAACUCCGUGCCAGCAGCCGCGGUAAUACGGAGGGUGCAAGCGUUAUCCGGAUUCACUGGGUUUAAAGGGUGCGUAGGCGGACAUGUAAGUCCGUGGUGAAAUCUCAGGGCUUAACCCUGAAACUGCCAUGGAUACUAUAUGUCUUGAAUGUUGUGGAGGUUAGCGGAAUAUGUCAUGUAGCGGUGAAAUGCAUAGAUAUGACAUAGAACACCAAUUGCGAAGGCAGCUGGCUACACAAAUAUUGACGCUGAGGCACGAAAGCGUGGGGAUCAAACA